Long non-coding RNA from Hibiscus syriacus, 269 nucleotides. RefSeq lists it as uncharacterized. The transcript is spliced from 2 exons. Lineage: Eukaryota; Viridiplantae; Streptophyta; Magnoliopsida; Malvales; Malvaceae. The record is from RefSeq and is a predicted model, not a curated record.
CUGCAGUGAUUUACAUCAUUGAUUUAUUUGUUUUCUCAUCUAUUACAGUGGCUCUAAAAGUGAUAACCAAGUCAACUAUGAAUCGAUGUAUAGGGGCCUGCUUCAUCGCACAUGUUGUAAAAUUUUGUAUAACACAGGUUUUUAGUUAAGACAUUGAGAUAGUUUGAAUAUUUUUUUGAUUGUUCACACGAUAUUCAAACUAAAAAUAGUGUUCAUUCAAUUUUCUGUUAUGUUUAAUCUCAAUUAUCCAUAAACGCAUCCAUGCUACA